RNAcentral lists this ribosomal RNA (802 nucleotides) under uncultured bacterium. RNAcentral describes it as "bacterial SSU rRNA". It matches the Rfam family "Bacterial small subunit ribosomal RNA", at positions 8 to 796 of the family's 1533-position model. The record is from RNAcentral.
AGAGUUUGAUCCUGGCUCAGGACGAACGCUGACGGUGUGCUUUAGACAUGCAAGUCGAACGAGAAAGCCCUUCGGGGUGAGUACAGUGGCGAACGGGUGAGUAACACGUGGGUAACCUGCCCCUCGCAGAGGGACAACCGGGGGAAACUCCGGCUAAUACCUCGUACGCUUGCCGGGCCGCAUGGCACCGGCAAGGAAAGGUAGCUUCGGCCAUCCGGCGAGGGAUGGGCCCGCGGUCCAUUAGCUAGUUGGUGGGGUAACGGCCUACCAAGGCGACGAUGGAUAGCUGGUCUGAGAGGAUGAUCAGCCACACUGGGACUGAGACACGGCCCAGACUCCUACGGGAGGCAGCAGUCGGGAAUCUUGCGCAAUGGGCGAAAGCCUGACGCAGCAACACCGUGUGGGCGACGAAGGCCUUCGGGUCGUAAAGCCCUGUUGUUGGGGACGAAGGACGAAGGGUUAAUAGCCCCUAGUCUGACGGUACCCUUCGAGGAAGCCCCGGCUAACUACGUGCCAGCAGCCGCGGUAAUACGUAGGGGGCGAGCGUUGUCCGGAAUUAUUGGGCGUAAAGAGCGUGUAGGCGGUUCGGUAAGUCUGCUGUGAAAUCCUGGGGCUCAACCCCGGGCGUGCAGCGGAUACUGCCGGGCUAGAGGGUGGUAGAGGCGAGUGGAAUUCCCGGUGUAGCGGUGAAAUGCGCAGAUAUCGGGAGGAACACCAGUAGCGAAGGCGGCUCGCUGGGCCAUUCCUGACGCUGAGACGCGAAAGCAUGGGGAGCGAACAGGAUUAGAUACCCUAGUAGUCC